RNAcentral lists this long non-coding RNA (302 nucleotides) under Pelobates cultripes (western spadefoot toad). Lineage: Eukaryota; Metazoa; Chordata; Amphibia; Anura; Pelobatidae. The record is from RNAcentral.
UUAAAGGGACACUGUAGUCACCUGAACAACUUUAGCUUAAUGAAGCAGUUUUGGUGUAUGGAACAUGCCCCUGCAGCCUCACUGCUCAAUCCUCUGCCAUUUAGGAGUUAAAUCCCUUUGUUUAUGAACCCUAGUCACACCUCCCUGCAUGUGACUUGCACAGCCUUCCAUAAACACUUCCUGUAAAGAGAGCCCUGUUUAGGCUUUCUUUAUUGCAAGUUCUGUUUAAUUAAGAUUUUCUUAUCCCCUGCUAUGUUAAUAGCUUGCUAGACCCUGCAAGAGCCUUCUGUAUGUGAUUAAAG